RNAcentral lists this ribosomal RNA (228 nucleotides) under uncultured bacterium. RNAcentral describes it as "partial 16S ribosomal RNA". It matches the Rfam family "Bacterial small subunit ribosomal RNA", at positions 113 to 334 of the family's 1533-position model. The record is from RNAcentral.
UAACUUGGGCAAUCUGCCCUCGAGAGGGAAACAACCUGCCGAAAGGUGGGCUAAUAUCCCGUAAGACCACAGGAUGGCAUCAUCUAGGGGUCAAAGCUCCGCAAGGGGCGCUUGAGGAGGAGCCUGAGGCCUAUCAUGGUAGUUGGCGGGGUAACGGCCCACCAAGCCUUUGACGGGUAGCCGGCCUGAAAGGGUGAUCGGCCACACUGGCACUGAGACACGGGCCAG